UUCAUGAGCAUAUUUACAAUACAUGCAUACAAUAUUUUUUUAAUGGGCAUUAGGAGGGUGUUUGUAUUUCGUCUGUAGAUCUGCGUAACCUCUUUGUCUGCGCCCCGCAGAUCACGCGCAAACAUAAGAGUUUGUAGCCUGUUUGUUUUUCAGAAGCCCACAGACAUACAAACAUCUGCGCGAGGUCUUCAUUGUAUAGAUUUGGGCUUGAGUUUUCUAAAGUCUGUACACAUUAUUAAAACCUAAAAAAAACUCCCUUUAUUGCUUUAGACAUAUCAUCACCUCUUUCGUUCUCAGCCUUCAACCCCCCGCCCUUCACCUGUCAUCCUCCUCCUCUCGCUGCCAGUGCCUUUACCGUCCACCCAGUUGUCGUCUUCCAUCGUCGUUGACGUCUACAUCCGCCGCCGACAUCCAUCGCUACCUCUUUAGCCUCUUAACAAAACACCACAGAUUUUCUUCAGCCGCUCCACCAUCGAUCUUCACAAUCUCACCGCCGGUUUUUCCACUGAAACAGGUUAGCCGUCGCUCGCUACAUCUUAACGUCGUCUUCGAUCUCUACUUUCACCGUUCAUUGGUAUUAAUUAGGCUGGAAGCAUUAGGCUAAAGAUUUCCUUGAACUAAGUUCUUAUUUGAUUUGCUGGGAAGAGUAGCAUUGGCAAAAGGAAAGCUCAAUUUUAUAAUCAUAAGUGACCCUUGGAUGCAAGACAACCAUUUGAUGAAAUGCUUGAAAGAGUUGGGGUUUAAUAUGGUUACAUUAAAUGUGAUUCAUCAUUGAUAUGUUAAUUAGUUGGAUUUUUUCUCUAAAAAUGAUAGCACAUACUCUAACAUGUAUAGAGAUGGCAAUAAGCUAAAAAUAUUUGUAUAAUAUGUGAAAUUAGAGUACGAGUGUGAUGAAUGAGUCAUGUGUUGCAAUUUUCUUUUUACCUAAUGUCAAUAAGAUUUUAGUGGUUUGAUUUA
Molecule: long non-coding RNA, 957 nt
Organism: Lactuca sativa (garden lettuce)
Lineage: Eukaryota; Viridiplantae; Streptophyta; Magnoliopsida; Asterales; Asteraceae
Source: RefSeq, a predicted model, not a curated record